Long non-coding RNA from Myotis brandtii (Brandt's bat), 2296 nucleotides. RefSeq lists it as uncharacterized. The record is from RefSeq and is a predicted model, not a curated record. The transcript has 4 exons. Lineage: Eukaryota; Metazoa; Chordata; Mammalia; Chiroptera; Vespertilionidae.
UAAAGGGUCGCGGCAUUAGGAAGGUUGAGAACCACUGCUCUAGACCCAAGGGCAUAGGGAAGGGCUGAGGGGAGGCAGUGCUGUGUGAGCCUUGAGGAGGAAGGAAACCUUUGUCCGAGCCAGGUGGGCUGCUGUGCCCUGGGGGCAUAGUAAAUGAGCCAGGCCUCAUUAUAGAUCCUCUAGGAUAGUGUUUCUAAUAACUGUGUGAGAUCCGGGCGUUCCUUGUGGAAAAGGAUUUGCUUUCUAAUAAGGCUGAUCUAGGCCACUAUCUCUUUCCCUGCCCCCCGCCCCCCAACUGCUGAUAAGGAAACAGAAACUUCAGUUGGUGAAGUGAAACAGACUUAUCCAAGAUUAUGCAAGCAGGUCUCUUUCUGCCUCUUUUAUGGAGUAAUUUAUUUGGAAGUACACUUUGAAGUUAUGUAUUAGUAUGUCCUUAUAGGAAUUCUUCUCUUUGUCUUCUUUGAAUUACCUUUAUCCAAUUCUGUUGAUGGCAAAAUAUAUCCUUAUUCAUUCAGGAAGGGGAUCCUAAUAACCCAUCAUAGGUUGCCCAUGGAACUGUGGCAAUUAAUAAUAGUGACCUUAGUCCAAAAAUAGCCAAUAAUGAUUGCCAAGCGUUUUUAGCCAAUGGCAUAUGCCUGAGGGAUGGUUGGAGAAGCAAAGACUUCAGUUUGGGUCAUAGAACAGAAUGAAUGAUGUAUUUAACUCUACAGCGGUGGUCUCAUUAGCAUCUUGCCUCACCAACAAACCAAGCACCAGACAGAACAUGCUUCAGCCUCCUACCCAGCAACCACCAAGAUGCUUUUGUGGGGCUUUGUGUUAACAGACACAAUUUAACUGCUCUGCAAGGUUCCGUGCACGGGUGCCACUUGCUUACAAAGCUAGAUGGGCUAUGUCAGCAGUUUCCAAUACCGGUGAUGUAGUUGGAAACAUUCCAUGAGAACACUAGCAGUUAACAUACACUGAGUGCUUGCUGCAUCCCAGGCGCUAUUCAAAACGACUCAAUAAGGUAGGUACUGCUGUUGUCCUGAUUGAGCAGAUGUUGAAAUGAGCAUAAAGAGCUGCUAGGUCUCACAUCCAAAAGCAGCAGCCCAUCAAUGGCAGAGUUGAGCCCAGAAAAUCUGGGUCCAGAAUCUGUGUUUUCAAAUUGUUAUGCUAUUCUGCCCUCUUCCCCACCCUUACUAUAUAGUUUGAUAUAGGGGAUAAUUACACAUCAGAACCGAGCUGUCUUUCUCCCAGUCUCCUGAAGGGCAUGUUUGUUUGCUUGUUUUUCCCUAUUAAGGUGUCAUCGGAUAACAACUUUUCUGGAUCCCAAGAGUCAGCAUCAGCUCUAAGAUUUGGGUUGCUGUGAAAAUUUUCUGACUGAAUACAGUGUUCCUGCGGGUUGGUAAAGAACCUGUAACUUCUUCAAGCAAUGUGUUUCUGGAAAGGAAUUAUCAUGGGAUCGCUCUGCUACUCUCCUUGGAGGUGUCUGUUACGUUGAAAGCCAUUAAGAUCCCGUUUGCCUAUCAUGUUGCAAACAAACGACACCUCGCCAUCCUCCGCCCUCCCGUCCCUCCAUGCUGCUGCUGGGAUUCUCGUCUCACCCCUCCUGUGCUUUAAUGACCCAGCAGCGCACACUUCUCUGACUUUGCUCUCGUGCGCAUAGUACAACCAGCAUUAAGAUGAAAAAUGCUUAGCAACCAGGAAGGCACAGGUGCUGAGCAAUCAGAAUGAACGCUGGCUGCAGGGAUGGAGCAAAGUCCAGGAGGCCCAGCCACGCCAGGCAUGCCCUCUUCCGGUGCUGGGUCGUGGCUACCAGAUUUGGGCCAGAGUCCUAAUGCCAGGGCCCAGGAGGUGAGAAGCUGGUGAGAUUUCCUGAGCCGCAAGGCUCCCCCACACUUGCUCUUCUCUCCCUGCCUGCUUACCGGAACUGAUCUGCAGUGAGGUCUCGGCGUGGAGAGGACAGUGAGAUCAAGGCAGCAUCAACAACCAAAAAGGCACAUGUUUUUUUUUAAUAUUUCAUGGAGAUUUAUAAAACUGACACGAGUGCUUCCACUUACAUCUGAUGUGACAAAUAAGCUAAUAUAAAUGCUCUUCUGAGAUUUGCAACAAGUAAAAGUGUAUGUCAAGUUAGCCUUGCAUUUGAAGGGCUCAUCAAAUUGUGGGCCCAUCUUGCCAAAUUGCCAACUCUUCAAUUUUUUUUUUUUAAUGUUUAAUAGAUCUACUUCAUCCAUCAUUGCUACGAAGCCUAAACACCUACCUCAGUCUUUGUCAACACCAAGAGGGCUGAAGGAGAGGGAAAAAAAAAAUCUAGUGA